This 1347-nucleotide ribosomal RNA is filed under the name metagenome. RNAcentral describes it as "bacterial SSU rRNA". It matches the Rfam family "Bacterial small subunit ribosomal RNA", at positions 9 to 1350 of the family's 1533-position model. The record is from RNAcentral.
GGAGUUUGAUCCUGGCUCAGAUUGAACGCUGGCGGCAUGCCUUACACAUGCAAGUCGAACGGUAACAGGGAGCUUGCUCCGCUGACGAGUGGCGAACGGGUGAGUAAUAUAUCGGAACGUACCAUUCAGUGGGGGAUAACGUAGCGAAAGUUACGCUAAUACCGCAUAUUCUGUGAGCAGGAAAGCAGGGGAUCGCAAGACCUUGCGCUGAUUGAGCGGCCGAUAUCAGAUUAGCUUGUUGGUGAGGUAAAAGCUCACCAAGGCGACGAUCUGUAGCGGGUCUGAGAGGAUGAUCCGCCACACUGGAACUGAGACACGGUCCAGACUCCUACGGGAGGCAGCAGUGGGGAAUUUUGGACAAUGGGGGCAACCCUGAUCCAGCCAUGCCGCGUGAGUGAAGAAGGCCUUCGGGUUGUAAAGCUCUUUCAGCCGGGAAGAAAACGCAUGGGUUAAUACCCUGUGUGGAUGACGGUACCGGAAUAAGAAGCACCGGCUAACUACGUGCCAGCAGCCGCGGUAAUACGUAGGGUGCGAGCGUUAAUCGGAAUUACUGGGCGUAAGCGUGCGCAGGCGGUUUUGUAAGACAGGCGUGAAAUCCCCGGGCUUAACCUGGGAACUGCGUUUGUGACUGCAAGGCUAGAGUACGGCAGAGGGGGGUGGAAUUCCACGUGUAGCAGUGAAAUGCGUAGAGAUGUGGAGGAACACCAAUGGCGAAGGCAGCCCCCUGGGUCGAUACUGACGCUCAUGCACGAAAGCGUGGGUAGCAAACAGGAUUAGAUACCCUGGUAGUCCACGCCCUAAACGAUGUCAACUAGGUGUUGGGAGGGUAAAACCUUUUAGUACCGGAGCUAACGCGUGAAGUUGACCGCCUGGGGAGUACGGCCGCAAGGCUAAAACUCAAAGGAAUUGACGGGGACCCGCACAAGCGGUGGAUGAUGUGGAUUAAUUCGAUGCAACGCGAAAAACCUUACCUACCCUUGACAUGCCAAGAACUUUCCAGAGAUGGAUUGGUGCCCGAAAGGGAACUUGGACACAGGUGCUGCAUGGCUGUCGUCAGCUCGUAUCGUGAGAUGUUGGGUUAAGUCCCGCAACGAGCGCAACCCUUGUCGUUAAUUGCCAUCAUUUAGUUGGGCACUUUAACGAGACUGCCGGUGACAAACCGGAGGAAGGUGGGGAUGACGUCAAGUCCUCAUGGCCCUUAUGGGUAGGGCUUCACACGUCAUACAAUGGUCGGUACAAAGGGUCGCCAAGCCGCGAGGUGGAGCCAAUCCCAGAAAGCCGAUCGUAGUCCGGAUCGCAGUCUGCAACUCGACUGCGUGAAGUCGGAAUCGCUAGUAAUCGUGGAUC